CUUCGCGGUUCGACGUGUGUCAAUCUGUGGAAAUAUAAAGAGGAGCUUUUACAAGAACAAAAAAAUUUUAUUAGCUCGUGCUUCACCUAACAGAGAGAUAAGGACACGAGAACUAUGAAAGUCUUAAAAGUAUAACUUACACGUGAAAUACUCCAUAAGGCUGUCCAGUGAUCUGUAACAAGAUGGAAACCUGACAUCUGAACCUCAUUACCAUACUGCAUCUCGACUCUAACCUAUAUAUAAUGGAAUACUUCAGUAUUAAUCUGCUUGAUGACAAGUAUUGGUAUGUGUCAUCAUUAGAUUGUGAUGAUACUACAUUGCAUCAAGCUAUUGCCAGCAGAUGUAUGACAAACAAAUUGCUUGCAGCCCCGAUUCGUCUCUCAGCCCCCAAGGAAGCUUGUUUGUUGUUAUAAGAAGAUGCAAAUAGAGGAUGAUACAUCUGCUCAAUGUCACGAAUGCGGUAGGAAUAUCCUUAGAGCAGUUCCAAGUGCUACUAAGGAGCAGUAUUACGCCAAUGGAGGUCGCAAGAAGACCCCAUACAAAAGAAUAAAAUACUUUAGAGACUGGAUGAGUCACAUCCGAGGUUAUCACCCCGUCUACCUUGACAACGAAGUAAUGGAAAUGAUUGCGCUUGACUUAAAAGAACCAACCCCACAAAGCUUAAGGAAGACAUUGAAAAAAUUGAAGUUAGGGAAAUAUUACAAAGGUAUUCCCUACCUUUUGUCUGAAAUUACCGGUGAUUCUAUUCCGGAGGUUUCUGAUAUGAGCAGAGCUGAGUGGAUGUUUUGUAGGAUGGAUAAGGAUAUUCCUUAUUACCCCGACGCAAUUUACGAAAUAUUUCAGAAGAUUGACCCCGAACAUCCACUAUUAGCAUGGAUACCCAGACGUUGACGUAACAUGGAAUUGAAAUCCCAUUUGAUUCCUUUCGAAGCAAACGUUUAUUGAGCGAGCUUUCUUUGGAGCUCUUCCUUUGCUUCUUGGUAGAUCUUCCUUCGAGAUUCCUCGGAAAGAUCCCUUACGAUUGUUUUUUUGUUGCCCGACUUUAGUUCCUCAUACUUCUUUUCCUCUGCCAGGAUAAGCGAGAAUUCUACGUCGUCUAUCUUGCGGUCUCUUAAAGCCUUGGAUACCAAAUCAGUGAUGGUGUUAGCUUUUGCCCGGGAAAGAGCUAUAGUUGUGUCAUGCUUUGAUAUUUUGCUAGACAACUGUUUCAUAAUGCCCGUGGUAAUAGCGGAGACGAUACCACAAACUGCUCCAACGCUGGCCAAAGGAACGCCUACGACUACUCCAGGGCCAGUCAAAGAAGUAGCAACGCCGCUGCCCGUUAAAGCAACAGACAUAGACCCGGUUGUUAUUGCGAUCUUAUGUAGCGUACUCCGGGCUCUGGUGUAUUUCUUCCUAACUUCUUCAUAAUGUGUUGUUUGCCCUUCCAAGUAAGCCAGGAUUAAGUUUGCUUUGUUAAGCCUGAAGUUUUCAGCGUUUAAUUCGUUAGGUGUCGUAGUAUGGUAGUUCGGAAUAUCUGGGUACAUCUUAGGUGCCGAUGGUGUAACGUCCAUUAUAUACUAAUGUACGACGCUUUUGGGAAUGACAUCGAGGAGCAGCCACAUCAUGACAACAGGGACUACUGGAAUUGGAGAGCGUUUAGGAAGAUGUUUCCGCAUGCAGACGCUAGCAAGUUCGAGUGAAGACCCGAUGGGGUUUAUUACCAAGGCUCUAGGAUGUACAGCAAUGCAGACCUAAGUCCGAAGCAGCCUGUCGAACAUAAGCAGCAGCCCAACUUCCCAAAGAAUCUAUUAAUAACGACAGAGGAUUACCCAUUUUACGACGACAAAGGCGGCGCAAAUGACUUCGCGAAAAUGGUCACUUCUUUGGAGAUUCCCGUAGGCCCUACGACAUUCAAAACAAAGGUCAAAGAUAUCUUCAGAGAAAUCGCGAUAAAGCAUACGACAGGGAAAGAGGCUAGAGAAUGGCUAUCGAGCCCCGACAUGCGGUAUUGGCCGCAGCAGUUGAACUUCGGAGUCUGGGCUGCUACUAAAGGAUGUGGCAUAGCCGUGGAUAUGUUUCAUAUUCCCUUCUUACGGUUCCACGUUGCGUUUACCAUUCGCCGCAUAUUGAAGGAGCUGGGCGCGCCUUUACCAGGCGACAGCAUAUUCAAAGCGAAGGAUAACAAAUAUGACAAGGUCGCGUGGGAACGACUGAAGAACGAGUUCAAACUCUCCAACCCCGACUUCCGUAACAAAGAAGGCGCAGCACAUGGUUUAGGAGAAACUUACACCUAUGCUGGGGGGUGCUAGCAUUGAAACGCCGGGCAUGGGAUAUCCUAGCUCCUAUGAAUUCUCAGACUUAGGAGGCGAUGGGUCGAAGGGAACGCUAAUUUAUUUCAUAGAAAGUCUGCAGAAAUACCCAUGGGCGCCGUUCUUUGCCGUGAAGGGCAUAGGUCUGAAGAACCUUGCCCGUAUUAACCGCAGCAUAGAAGCAUUCGUCUACUGCAUCUUGGGAGCGCAGGUAAAUACCCGCAGCCCCAUUGUUGGUUCGCAUGGUGCCUCGCAAGAGACGCAGCAGGAAUUUCUAACCCUGUUUGAGUCGGCGAUAAUAGAGAACGACAUAUCCAAAUCGGUGCAAAAAGGGAGUACAGAAGUAAAAAAGCUCGGACUGAUUCGGCCAUGUUGAUCCAGGCACAAAUCCCGCCAAAAGUUCAAAACUGACGAAUUAAAUUACUGUUGUUGUUCGAUAACUCGUUUGUGCAUUUUAAUAAUGUGAACGUCGACAAAUCGUUAACUAGCUUUACUUGAAACGUGAUGACAGAUAAAAUGAACUUUAGCUAGCUAAAUUACGAUAGGUGUGAACGCACCCGGAAAGCAAGUUUAACUUUGAGUGUCAUAAGUAACAGCUUUUAACGAGCUGACGAAAGAAGUUUCAGUGUUGAGUAGUCUUUCCAGUUAGGCGUCCUGCUGGCCAACAGACAAAGGCUUCACACUUCUCCCACUUUUAAUCCCCCAAAAAUAUUCUAAACAUGCAGAUCUGAAUGCUCCCAAACGCAAUAAAAUUGGGCUUGCGGCUUGUUAUAACAUU
This 3069-nucleotide unclassified non-coding RNA is filed under the name Actinia tenebrosa (Australian red waratah sea anemone). Its description in RNAcentral is "uncharacterized LOC116288973, transcript variant X2". Lineage: Eukaryota; Metazoa; Cnidaria; Anthozoa; Actiniaria; Actiniidae. The record is from RNAcentral.